Long non-coding RNA from Mycetomoellerius zeteki, 169 nucleotides. RefSeq lists it as uncharacterized. The transcript has 3 exons. The record is from RefSeq and is a predicted model, not a curated record. NCBI's taxonomy places the organism in Eukaryota, Metazoa, Arthropoda, Insecta, Hymenoptera, Formicidae.
GGAUGCAUGAGCAACCGAUGUAAAAACUGUUGCAAAGUACCCAUAUGAAUAGUUAAUUUGAUUUAUUUAAAAGGAAUCCCAGAGUAGACAUUUGCAGAGCCUGAAUUUAUCACGUACAUUAUAACUUUCGUAAUAAAAUAAAUUGAGGACAAAAAUAAGAAGCAAUAAA